GGACAGGGGAUGAGGGUUACCUGGUUUCUGCUCCUUUGACUAUGGCAUAGACUCUGUAGAUGUCUGUAAUUGACCGGGAGGUAUGUAGAUGACUGUAUCAAGUUAUCCUCCUGACCGGGCGCAGUGGUUCAUGCCUGUAAUCCCAGCACUUUGGGAGGUCAAGACAAGGAAGGAGAACUAACAUCAGAAUCAUCUGAAUCAUCAGAAUAAUCUAUUUCGGAAAAAUUAGAUUCAUCAAAUGAAUCUUCGGCCAACAACUGUUCAAGAACGAUGUUAACAUCAGGCAUAGACAUAGGAAUGCUACGUUUUCUAGGAUUUGACAUUUUCAGCGAUCAAGAAUUACUAUAUUUUGUAAAUGAAAAUACCACUACUAAAAACAGAAUGUUGUAAAUAGAAUAAUGUCUUUUAUUUCCAAAGUCAACAUACUAGAGCGAUACAAUAAUAAUAAUAAAAGCAAGAUAUUUGGUGGCAAAGUUAUCUUGGAGCAAACACUGCAGCCGCAAGCACUGCCAGUGAGUAUUCUUGGGGCAAGUGGAAUGAUUAAGUCCAGAGUUUGUUGAGAAAAAAGGUGAGAUAGUUUUUUGUGGUCAUAUUCAAAAAAUGAAUGAGAUAUUUAAAGGUAAGAGUUUUCUAUUUUGAAAUUGAGACUCACUACUUUUUCAUCCAUCCCAUGGGAACUCUACCUGAAGGGUUAUUGAAAGUAAAAUAUUGGCCGGGCGCAGUGGCUCAUACCUGUAAUCCCAGCACUUUGGGAGGCUGAGGCGGGCGGAUCACCUGUGGUCAGGAGUUAGAGACCAGCCUGACCAACAUGGAGAAACCCCGUCUCUACUAAAAAUACAAAAUUAGCCAGGCGUGAUGGCACAUGCCUGUAAUCCCAG
This 878-nucleotide long non-coding RNA is filed under the name Homo sapiens (human). RNAcentral describes it as "HSALNT0337573". Lineage: Eukaryota; Metazoa; Chordata; Mammalia; Primates; Hominidae. The record is from RNAcentral.